Molecule: unclassified non-coding RNA, 238 nt
Filed under: Hevea brasiliensis (rubber tree)
Lineage: Eukaryota; Viridiplantae; Streptophyta; Magnoliopsida; Malpighiales; Euphorbiaceae
Source: RNAcentral
GCGGGAAGUGAGUGGCAGUGACGGUAAAAACAACGGGACGUUAGGGGUAUCUCCGUCAUUUUACGUGAAUGGAGAGAGCUGUGGUCCGGCAUUUUCCGGGUCGGGUUCUACUUUAAUGGCCGGAAUUGCAGGUGCGGGUAUGGAUACGGGUAGCAGUGGUUUGUUGGAGGGUGGUGGAGUAGUUGGGCUUGGUGGGCCUAAUAUUGAGGUAUUUUCUGGGCUUGAAAUGGGCUUUACA